CUGGAAGUGGGAUGAGGGGUUUAAUUCCUGCAUCCCUGACCCAGGUCGACCACAGGAGCCACAGCUUAACGUGAAAGGUCAUGCCAGGUGGAAGCACAGCAGGCUUGUUUCUGGAGUUCCUGUUUCUAACUGUUCUUGCUUCUUCGGUCUGAGCCUGGCCAUCAAAAGUGGGCUGAGCUGGGCUGAACCUCAGUCAGCAAGAUGCCACCCAGCAGCCGUCCUGAGGGUCAGGUGUUGGGGCUGGGGGAGCAGAGCCAAGCCAGCCUUCUGACCACCAUACUUGGCGAGGCUGCGGGACGCUGCACCCCAAGGGGUGUGCAAGGAAUGAGGAUAAGGCUUCCACUGCAGAGGAUUUGAGCCCCAGCUGCCCCAGGACCCGAGGUCCUCGAGUACAGAACUCUGUGGUAAAAGCUGGAUAGAAGAAAGCAGCUGCAGCCACAGACCUCAGCCAGAUUUGCGUCCCUACCCAGGGAGGCCAACCCCAGAGCUUACCUGAGCCUCGUCCAGGGGACGCUGUCCCACAACGGUCACUAAAGAAACCUUGGGCCCAGGGCAGUCCAGUCGCCCCCUUACCCACCUCCCAGGCAGGGCUCAGAGGCUAGUGCCCCACUCUUCAUGCCAACAGAAGUGAGUCUCCACAUUCAUCAAGGACAUAAAUA
Fukomys damarensis (Damara mole-rat) is the source of this 659-nucleotide long non-coding RNA. RefSeq lists it as uncharacterized. NCBI's taxonomy places the organism in Eukaryota, Metazoa, Chordata, Mammalia, Rodentia, Bathyergidae. The transcript has 3 exons. The record is from RefSeq and is a predicted model, not a curated record.